AUUUCUUUGGGCCGCUCCCGCAGCAUAAGGAGGUUCCCAGGCUAGGGGUCGAAUCGGAGCUGCAGCCACUGGCCUAUGCCAGAGCCACAGCAACACGGGAUCUGAGCCAUGUCUGCAACCUACACCACAGCUCACGGCAACGCCGGAUCGCUAACCCACUGAGCAAGGGCAAGGACCAAACCCGCAACCCCAUGGUUCCUAGUCGGAUUCGUUAACCACUGCGCCACGACGGGAACUCCAAGGGGCACAGUCUUUAAGGCAUUAGCCUGCUGUGGCCUCCUUUGCUGGUCAAAGCAAUAAAGGUCUUUUUCUCCUUCAACCCCCCCAAAAAUUAAAAUAAAAACAAAAAUAAAGCCCCGAAGCUGAGUGUGAAAGCCUUUUUUAAGAAGAUAAAAAGGGAAGGAAACAGUAAGACUAUGAAAUAAGAUCACUGUUUCAGGAAAGAUUAGACCUACUGCUCAUUAGUAAAAGCAAGCCCACAGGACAGAAGAUUCAGUUCAAAACCAGGAAGAAUUUUCAAAUAAUCACAAUUCUCCAAGAGUGUGAUUCUAUGAGCAAGUUAAUUCACUGAAUGUUGCACAAAAAUAGUAAAGAAAAGAAAUGUAACUGAUACAAUACAUACACCAAGGAAGAUAGUAUAUGUUUAGUAGAAGAAAGAAUAAUACACAUAGUAUAUAGGCGUGUGUAUGUGUGUGUGUGUGUAGCAAGUAAGCUGGUGAGAGAUGGACAGAUAGAUUGGUACAAAUGAUAGCUAGAUAACUAACUAGCUAGAUAUUAGUGAGAUAAAUGAAUAGAUACACAGACAAGCAGAUAAGUAUUACUGCAUUGUUUAACCAAAUCUUCCAGUUUCCAAAAUGUGGAACCCUAGUCAAGACUCUAAGAGUUUAAGGGCUACGCCUGAAUAACAAUUUGCAUGGACCAUGUACCAGUAAAUGGGAAAAGGAAAAUGACUGAAGGCUUUAGUAAUUAUUUCUAACAUCUGGAUUUGGACAAUUAGUAUUUGUUCUUGAGGAGAAAAUUGGGUAGUAUUUCAUAUUAUCAAAAAUCUAGUGAGUAUUGGGGUUUUAGGAGAUCAUUUUCAAUACAAGGUAAAAAACAAAUAAAUGGUUAAAAGUAUUACUUCGGCAUGUGAGGAAAAUUAAUUUAUCAUGCUUCUUUUGUAAGCAUCAACAUUUGGGACAUCCUACAUCCAAUGUAAUGUUUUUUCAUGUGCUGGGAUUGUGUAGGUGUUUGUGCAUAUAAUAUAAAAAUGAAAACAACAUUCUUGAAAAUUUUAAUUAUAUUCAUCUCACAUAGUAAAUUUAAAAAUUAGCUGUUUAAAAUUUCUAUAAAAGCAAAUCAACUAAAACCAUGACCAUUUAAUUUAUCCAUAUAUAUCCAUAUAUUUACAUCUAUCUAUAUAUAAUCCACAUAUAUCCAUAUAUUUAUAUAUGGCAUAUGCAUAGUUUCACUUCCUUUGCCUAAGCAUCUCCUGGUUGCCCAAAUGAGAAUUCCAGUUCAGAAUCAGACACUUGUUAUCUAAAUGCUUAUAUAUUAUUUUGAGAUAAAAUGAAUUCUGCAAAGGAACAAGAAAAAAAGUAUUUUCAUUUUUAAAUUACAUAUUUCAGCAGAAAGACAACUAAAGGGUUUUUCAACUUAUUUUUUUUAGGUUAUAUAAUGAAGUCAUUAUUUCCAGAGAAUAAUUUCUCUUUCCAACUGCUUGAAACUACUGUCAUAAUAAUUUGAUUUAGAUUAGAAAGAAACAAUCACAGUCUAUUUUCAAUUAACAGACAUAUUUCAUUUUCCAAUACCUCCAUUCUCUUCAUUUCUCCUAAAACUCAUUUUAAACUAAAUAAUUUCAUUCAGGCCAAGCAACUUCUGGAAACACAAUCAAGGGUUACAGUGUAAUUGUGAAUUUUUAAUUUUGUCCUUUAUCUUCUUCUUGGGAACAUUUUGCAUUAACAGAUAGAAACACCAGCUUUUUAAAAUAUUUCCUUAAGGUAAUACACAUCUGCAGUGAAAACAAUAUAUAGGAGAACCACAUUCUCCAAAGAACCAAAGGAAAAACUAAUCCUUUUCUCCAGGACCAGUGUGAUAUAGCAAUGUCAAAAUACGCUUUGUAAGACACAAAUAUAUCAAGAAACAGUAAUUGUUAUAUGUCAAAGAGCAAUUAAAAUGAAAUUUCUAAACACUACAAUGCCAGAUGUGUAGAUUUUUAAAGUCAGAAAAAUCAAAACACAUUCUUCAAAUAUAUGUAAUUUAAGCUAUAAUUUCAGAAGAAAUGUUAUUCUGAAAAUUUAGUAAUCAAGCAGGAUUUUGUGAUAAGAUGUGUAGGGGCCAAUUCAGGGCCUAUUUUUGAGGUAAUAUAUUUAAAUAAAAAUUUGAUGAAGGAAAGGAAAAAUAAUUUAACUCUAAUUCUUGGCUCUAAGAAUUUCACCAAAAACUGUAUAUAUGUAAUUAUCUCAUUAACUCUUUUUAACAAUUCAGGAAAGUUGUUAUCAUUGCCUGUAUUUUAUGGAUGAAGAAACUGAGGAUAAAAAAAAAAAAAAAAAAAAAAAAAAAGGAGUAAUUUACCCAAGAGCAUAUAACUAGCUGAGUAAGAAUUUUAUUUUAUUUAUUUAUUUACUUACUCAUUGUCUUUUGCGCUUUUAGGGCCACACCUGCGGCACAUGAAGGAUCCCAUGAUAGGGGUCAAAUCAGAGCUAUGGCCAUCGGCCUAUGCCAGAGCCACAGCAAUGCUGGAUCCGAGCCACGCCUGUGACCUAUACCACAGCUCACAGCAACACCGAUCCUUAACCCACUGAGGGAGGCCAGGGAUUGAACCCACGUCCUCACAGAUGCUAGUCGGGUUUGUUAACAACUGAGCCACAAUGGGAAAUCCCAAGAGUAAGAAUUUUAAAUCAGACAUUAAUUUAAAAAUCCUUCCUUUAUUGACAUGUGGAUUCUUCAAUACAUUAUACCACAAUUUCCCUAGUAAAGCACAACAAACACAGCAUUGCAAAGAUAUAGGAAAAUAUUGGUAGGAGUACAUUCACACAGCCAUUUAAGAGAGUAAUUUGCUAAUAGCUAUCAAAAUUUUAAACAUAAAAAAAAGCAUAUCCUUGGGAGUUCGCACCAUGGCACAGUGGGUUAAGAAUCUGACUGCAGCAGCUCAGGUUGCUGCCAAGGCAUGUAUUCAAUCCCUAGCAUGGAGCAGUAGAUUAAAGGAUCCAGCAUUGCUGCAGUUGGAGCAUAGGUCACAGCUGUGGCUCAAAUUCAGUCCCUGGCCCAGAAACUUCCCUAUGUCACAGUACAGCCAUAAAAUUUAAAAAAAAAAAAAAAAAAAAAAAAAAAGCAUAUCCUUUUACCCAGUAAUUCACUUUCAGGAAUCUACCCCAUACAAAUUCUUGUUAUGCACAAAUAUAUCAUUGCAACACUGUAAUUUCAGCAACAACAAAAAAAAAGUAGGAUCAACCUAAUGUCCAGAAAUAGGGAAAUAUUUCAAUACAAUACAGUAUGCCCACACCACAAACUUAUACAUAGUAAUAUAAGACUAUGAUAAAUCUACAUGCACUUACAUAAAGAAAGCUCUAGCUAUAUUUUCAAGAGUAAAAGCAGAAAUUUCCUGGAGAGUCUCCCAUUGUGGCUUAGUGGUGUCAAACGUGAGCAGUAUCCAUGAGAAACACAGGUUUGAUUCCUGGCCUUACACAGUGGGUUAAGGAUCCAGUGCUAUGGUGAGCUGUGGUGUAGGAUGCAGAUAGUGGCUUGAAUCCAACAUUGCUGUGGCUGUGGUGCAGGCUGGUAGCUACACUUUGAUUUGACCCCUAGCCUAGAAGCUUCCAUAUACCAUGGGUACAGCUCUAAAAAAGACAAAAAAUAAACAACAACAAAAAAAAGCAGGCAGUUCUUCUGUGGCUCAGCAGGUUAAGUAUCCUGCACUGUCAUUGUAGUGGCUUGAGUAACUGUUACGGCACAGAUUUGAUUCUGGCCUGGAAAUUUCCACAUGCCAAGGAUAUGGCCAAAAAAAGAGUAGAAGCAAAAUAGAAUAUUAAAAAUAACAUGAAAAUAACAUGAUCUUAUUUAUGAAGUUACGUUAAAUUACAGAUAGAUAGAUAGAUAAACAGACACAUUGAGAACUUCCUAUCCUCCAAAGAUCUUGUGAACAUGAUCUAUCUUUAUUCCCAGUAAACUAACUCUUGGAGUUAGUUAGAAUGUCCUCCUCACAAGUCUACCAGAGCCCCAGGACUCUGACAAUCACCACUACCACAUUCAUCAUAAACCAUAUCUGAUAUUUACCAUCACAAAGCACUUUCACUCAAAUUACCUAAUCUGGUCCUCACAAUAUCCAUAAUCAAAGUAUCCCAGAACAGUUCAACAAAAACAAUUACAUGAUUCUGCCAUUUUAUGCUAGUUUAAGCACAAAUUUAUUCAACUGACAAGCACUUAUUGAGGGUUUACUAUGAGCCUGCUUCUCAUAAUAGGUGUUGUUAGAGUAGAAAGAUGAAUCAAAUUGGACAAACAUCCUACAAUGAAUAAAAUAAGCUAUCAGACUAUAUGUGUUGGAAGAGGUGGUGAGUUAUAAGAUAUAUGCACAAAUAACAAAUUUUAAGGUAGACAGUAAAGAGGUGACAUUUAAAAAGUACAAAAAAGGUAGAAACUUGUCUCAAUGAUCUGCGAAUCUUGAAGUCUAGGGGUCUUCUAUUAAGAUUCAAAUCUCUGGUGAGAGGCAGAGCAAGAUGGCAGAGGAGUAAGAGGUUGCGCUCACCUUCUCCCACAAACACAUCCAAAAAACACAUCUACAUGUAAAAUGACUCGCACAGAACAUCAGCUGAAUGCUGGCAGAAGAACUUAAACCUCCAAAAAGGGCAAGAAACUCUUAACAUAACUGGGUAAAACAAAAGAAAAAAAAAAAAGAGAGAGAGAGAAAAGGAAUCAGGACAGGACUAGCAUUCCCGAGAGGGAGCUGUGAAGGCGAAAAGGAAUCCACAUCUUGGGAAGCCACCUAACUGGGGGAAAGAUCAGCUGAGUUGGCAGGACCUCAAAGUCUCCAAGAAAAGCGCAGCAGCUGGACUGUGAACAGCAAAGCAGAGUGAGGGCUGCACAGAUCAUCUGAACCACCAGCCUGGACACCACAAACUGAGAUGCUUGGGCGGGGGCUGGGUGAUGAGACUCAGACUCCAGAGGUCAGUCCUGGGGAAAGGACUGGGGCUGGCUGUGUGCAGACAGCCUGAGGGGCUAAGGGACCAUGAGCCAUGGAAGGAGGAGCAGUAUGCCACGGGCUGAGGAGGGGGAAUGCCACGGCAGAGGGAACCCGGGAGAAUGUCCGGACCUGCAGGAGAGGCAAGGCACCAUUGUUGGGGAAGGUGAGAGAAAAGGGGGCAGAUGCCAUAGGAAACUCCCUGCACUGGAGCGUGCACAUGCCCGCGGGCUCACAGAGAGCAGGGCAGCUCUGGUGCAGGCUAAGGGUGGAAAGAAACCUCUUGCUCGUUUAGGAGAGACUGGGCACUCCUUGUGCAGGCUACAGGUGACCAGGUUCCUCUUGUGUGGGCUAUGGGCAUCAAGGGGCUAAGUGAGAUGUGGUGUCUCGUGCACCAUCUACAGGUGUCAGGGACAGACAGCGGCGGUCGUCUCAGAGGCCAGAGGGAGGCGUGGCUUGCCACCACUAGGGGCCUGUGAGUGGGCUCCACCUGUGACCCCAGUCACCUUAGGUGUUGGCAAAAAAGAAAAAAAGAGUUUACUGCAACCAAACACCAUACUCUGUUGCUCUCACUCCCCUGAAAACACACCCACCCUGCAGCUGCCACUGCCAAAUGCUCUGGUCAGCACUCAGACACUUGGUCACUGUAGCUUCCCAAGACCCUACAACUAGGAGCAGAUUGUGCAGCAGCUUCUUCAUGGGCUAAGUGGGAGAGGGUGCUUCUUGCAUGGUCUGCAGGUGGCGGGGGCAAACUGUUGCAGUUAUCCCUGAUUCCAGAGGUGGGUGUGGCCUACUGCCACUGGGGAUACCUGAACAAAAAUCACUAGCAGCCCCAACCACCUCAGAGGGCACCACAGAGAAGGACAUUGUGAUGGAACACCACCUGUUGUUGCUCUCGUUCCCCUGGGAGCACACCCACACUGCCGCUGCCACUGCCAAACACUCUGGACAGUGCCCAGACGCUUGAUCACUGUCCAUUUCCAGGAACCUGCAACUAGGAGAAGCUUAUGCAGCACAUCCUGUGGGGUCUAAGCAUGAUAAGGUGCUUCUGGCAUGGUCUACAGGAGGUGGGGGCAAACCACCAUAGUUAUCUCUGGCUCCAGAGGUGGGAGUGGCUUGCCACCACUAGGGGUCUGUGAACAGACACCACUUGCAGCCCCAUUCACCUCAAGGGCACCACAGAGGAGGGCACUGUGAAAGAAGACCACCUGUUGGUGUUCUCACACCCCCAAGAAGACACUCACUCUGCUGCUGCCACUGCCAAAUGUUCUGGGCAGUACACACAUUUCCCAGGAUCCUGCAACUAGGGGCAGCCUAUACAGCCCCUUCUAUGUGGGCUGAGUGAGUCAGGUUGCUUCAUACAUGGUCCACAGGUGGUAGGGGCACCACACCACAGUUAUCAUUGACUCUAGACACGGUCAAGACCCACUCCAACUAGGGGUCCCUGAACAGACAACAUCUGUGGUUCCUAUCACCUCAGAGAGGGGCAUUGCAAUCAAACACAAGCUGUUAUUGCUCUCACUCCCCUGGGAACUCCCACACCCUGCUGCUCCUUCUGCAAAUGCUCUGGUCACCUUGAAGAUCUGCUUGAGCUUAUUACCAAUUCCCAGGGCCCUGAAAAUAGGAACAGCCACCUUCCUACAGGUCCUUGCUGCUAUCGAGAGCACAAUGACCAGGCAUUGACUGCUGGCCCUACCCAUUGCUUCCUUCUCCCUGAAAACACGCCAAGCAUCCUGGGAAUAACAGCCUACUCACACUGAAUAAAGAAACAGAAAAUAUUCAAAAUCCCACAUCAAAAAUAAAUAGUAACCCCCAAAUUACAAAGGGGUAUUCUUGCAUAGAAGUAGCCUUAUAAGACUAUAGUUUGGCUUCCCUGAACUCACAGAAAAUGAAAAACAUAAGCAAGAUGAAGAAUCUCAGAAACCAUUCCCAGUUAAAGCAACAGGAGAAUUCACCUAGAGCAGUCAACAAUGAAACAGACCUCUGCAGUCUGACAGACUUUAAGCUCAAAAGGGAGAUAGUGAAAAUACUGAAGGAAUUAAGAUAGCAUAUGAACAGUAAUGCAGAUUCCCUCAGAAAGGAACUAGAAAAUAUAAGGAGCCAAGAAAAACUAGAAAAUUCAUUUGCAGAGAUACAAACUGAGCUUAAGGCAAUAUAGAGCAGAAUGAAUAAUGCAGAGGAAUGAAACAGUGAUAUGGAAGAUAGAAUAAUGGAAAUCACCCAAUCAGGACAUCAGAUAGAAAACUAAAUGAAAAAAACAUGAAAGCAAUAUAAGAGACCUAAAGGGUAAUAUAAAGUGGACCAAUCUACACAUAAUAGGGAUUCCAGAAGGAAAAGAAAAAGAAAAGGGGAUUGAAAAUACAUUUGAAGAAAUU
Molecule: long non-coding RNA, 7530 nt
Filed under: Sus scrofa (pig)
Lineage: Eukaryota; Metazoa; Chordata; Mammalia; Artiodactyla; Suidae
Description: lncRNA (ENSSSCG00000054234.1)
Source: RNAcentral